CUUGACUUGAAUCUGAGACUCAGGGCUGCAGAAGCAUCUGAAGCUGCAGAUCUCCAGAUGCAGAAUGGAGACCCUUCUUGCCGUGUUUAAAGAGCAUUUCAGAAUACACACAGAGACAGGCAACAUCUGGACACAUCUCUAAGCAAUGAAAACCUAAAAUUGCAUGUCUGUAAGUGGGCCUCCAGAGCCCAGUGCAACAAGGAGCCCCACAGCCCCUUCCGGCCACACAGAACUUCCCAGGGUGAGGAGAGGAAGCACAGCAGGGCGCCCUGGUGUCCAGGAGGAGGAAGAAAAGGGUCCCCAAAGGUGGGGCGUCCAGCGGAGGAAUCCUGCGUGGUGCUGACGCGGAGGGAUUGGCCGCAUGGUCACUUCCUGUGAGAUGCUGCGGCCCUGCACCCUCAGUCAGUGAAGAGCCAGUGGAGAAAGAGGACAAGUCACUGGGUUCUCCAGAGAACUGUUCUCUUGCAAGAGAUGCUCUGCGGGUUCCGGCUCCGGGAGAGGACGUAAGGGCUCAUGGACUCCAGCUGAAAAUCAUCCUGCCUGCUGUCCACCUGCCCCCCACCUGGGGAGGGUCUCUCAGUGGCUGCCAUGGUGGACAUGGG
Ochotona curzoniae (black-lipped pika) is the source of this 602-nucleotide long non-coding RNA. RefSeq lists it as uncharacterized. The record is from RefSeq and is a predicted model, not a curated record. The transcript has 3 exons. Lineage: Eukaryota; Metazoa; Chordata; Mammalia; Lagomorpha; Ochotonidae.